UACGUAGGGGGCAAGCGUUGUCCGGAUUUAUUGGGCGUAAAGAGCGUGUAGGCGGCUAUGCAGGUCCGUUGUGAAAACUCGAGGCUCAACCUCGAGACGCCGAUGGAAACCGUUUGGCUAGAGUCCGGAAGAGGAGAGUGGAAUUCCUGGUGUAGCGGUGAAAUGCGCAGAUAUCAGGAAGAACACCCGUGGCUAAGGCGGCUCUCUAGUACGGUACUGACGCUGAGACGCGAAAGCGUGGGGAGCGAACAGG
RNAcentral lists this ribosomal RNA (253 nucleotides) under uncultured bacterium. Its description in RNAcentral is "partial 16S ribosomal RNA". It matches the Rfam family "Bacterial small subunit ribosomal RNA", at positions 524 to 776 of the family's 1533-position model. The record is from RNAcentral.